GUGUGGGGGGAAACAAUAAAAAAUGCGCGGACGAACACCCGAAAUAUUUACGCACGACUUGGCGGCGGCGGACGGUCGGAACGUCUAUCGGACGGUGUCGAACUGAUCGAAAUCAUUUUUAAAAUUUACAAUAAUAUUAUUUGGUUUAAUCGCGUGAAAAAUAUCAUAUUUACAUGUAGCCCCGUCGUGACGAUUUGACGACGGCGUGCGAUCUACGAAGAAACGGUUGCACGUUUAAAAAAAAAAAAAAAAUAAAAAAAAAUAUCGUUACGCGACGAACCGAAAGCCAUAACAUAACAUACAAUAUACUUUACGGAAACAUUAACCCGUACAUGUUUUUUUUUUUUUUUUUAUUGGUUUUUUUUUAGUUUUUAAUUAUUGCUUUUUUGUUUUUCUCCUUUUGCAUCGCCUACCGCCUUCCUUCGUCUUUCGGAACAUCGAAUUUACCGGUAUCGUUGAAAUAACAGAUUUUUUCGCGUGCACACAGGCUCGCGAAAUGCCCGUCGGUAUUUAAUUAUAUCAGCUGAUUGCUGCACGAUGACUCCGGGAUGCAUAUUGGGAAUACUAUCGCGUCUGUAUACAGUAUGGCCGGCGGCUCGACAAAAACACAAACUAUCUUAAUCGUAUCAUACAAGUUGAACGAACCGCAAAAAAAUGAAACGGCAAUCGGCUGAAAAUUCGUCACGCCACGUUGAAACCGACGUUAAGGUUCGGAAAAAUAUAGUUUGACGGCGGAGCGUUGCGAACAAAAAAAAAAAAAAUGCCCGAUACGACGGCGCGAGUUUAUCAAAGUUAACAAGCUAAAAAGAGAUCAUUGAAGAUUUACACAUGUUAAUAAUAUAAUAUAAACGCAGUGAAACCUCUAGACCGCUGUAUAUUAUCGUACAAUAUCAGUCACUAACGCGGCUGCUACGAAAAUAAUAUAAGCUUCAUAAUAGGGCCGGGUCGUGACUGCACCCGGUGCAGUCGUAUUAUCUUACAGACUACAAUAAUAUAUUACAACUGCACAGACCCAUCUGCACGGUAUUUAGUCUCGGAAAAAUAUCGGUUCAUUUAUCGUCGCCGAAGUUCUCGAUGCGAGAUGGAUGGGAAAUUGAAUGGUGCGGCAACGCGCGAAAGAGACUCGGGUACGAUUUACAAUUUUUUUAGUAAAACUACUUUAUUAACACGUCCGUUAUAGUAAAACGAACAGUUACGAUUUUCUAUAGGCGUGCGCCUAACAAGGAGUGUUGCGUAGGCGUAACAACCUCAACAAAAAUUAAACAUAAUUACAAUAAACAAAACGUACGGUCGUCGAAGUGAUCCCCGUCCACCGGGACAAAGAAUAACGUCCGCUCGAAACGCGUCAACAACCCGUUAAUCAUUAUGGAAAGUAAACCAAAAUUAUUCUGUGCGCCGUUGAUAGGGAAUAUCGAUUUAUUUUCCUAUUACAAAACAAAACAUUAUAGUAUUGUAUUACACCGCGUGCUCUCGAGGAUCGCCCCGAUACGGCGAACGUCGAGUUGCUUGGAGAAAAAAAAAAAGAAAAAGGGGAAAAAUUAUACUUAAACAAAAAGUAUCUGCGGAUUCGUAGUACUAGUAAGCGCGUAUAUUAUACAAGAGGGAGACCACCGAAUCAACGUCCGAGAACUUAGAGAUAGGUUAAAAUGAACAAAAAAAAAAAAAAAUGAAACCUAUCCACCGCCGCGUUUUCGCGCGUAAUCCGGGGGCGUUUUGUUCGAAUAUCGUAAUAACAAUAGGUAGGCAGGUAGGCGGGCAGGCAGGCAUUUAAUAGUCGUGCGUAUAGAGGUUUCACUGUAUAAUAAUACGUGCCGGCGAUAACAUAUGUACACGCAUGAAUAAAACGUUUUCGACGCGAACCGUAUCCGUUCGGCAGUCGGCACGGUUCGCGCGUCCAACACAACACAUUACGGGAAUCUAAACGGAAUCGCGCGUAAACAACGCAAUACGAUAUUAUGUUAUCAUACAAUAUUAUAAUAUCAUUAUACGCGUCGACAAUAAUAAUAAUAAUAAUAAUAAUAAUAAUAAUAAUAAUAAUUAUAAUCUUAAACGCUAUUUUCUCCGACCGGACGUCGGGAGACGGGAGCGCGCCCGCACCGCGAGAACGUGCGAAAAUUACUACAACACGGGAUUACGCACGCCGCGGACGGGCGCGCGAUUUCGGUGUCGUGGGGCGCGGCACGGCGCGACGACGGAUUUCUGCG
RNAcentral lists this long non-coding RNA (2204 nucleotides) under Cinara cedri. Lineage: Eukaryota; Metazoa; Arthropoda; Insecta; Hemiptera; Aphididae. The record is from RNAcentral.